Monodelphis domestica (gray short-tailed opossum) is the source of this 692-nucleotide long non-coding RNA. RefSeq lists it as uncharacterized. NCBI's taxonomy places the organism in Eukaryota, Metazoa, Chordata, Mammalia, Didelphimorphia, Didelphidae. The record is from RefSeq and is a predicted model, not a curated record.
CUAAUGGGAAGUUAGAGUGUUUACUGUUUGCCAGGAACUGAAUGGAAUUCUGGGGUUACAAAGAAAGACAAAAGUAGUGCCUGGCUUUAAGGAGGGGGGAGAUAUGUGGAUGACAGAGAUAUAGAUGAAGGUAGAGAACUGCGGGAGCCUAGAAGCUGAAGCAGAGAGCGAGUAGGGGUACAGUCAGUUUAAAUACCCAUUUUGUUCUCGGCCCAGGAAAGUGAAAACAUCCUUUGUAACUUACUUUUCCUGAUGGGAGUGAAGAGUGUGACAAUGUUAAUUCCCUCCUAUAUUCAUGGAUAUGCGGACAAAGAAUUACUAGUACACUUUAAGUCAUAGAAGUCUAGUGGCAAGAGGACAAUCUGGACCACUGAUGAUGGCUCAGGAUACAGUAGAUGAUGUUGACAUCUUUGAUGACUGAUCAAGCUCUACGCACUCCACACACCCACUUCAGCUGCCUUUGUGGCCAUUAGAACAAAUUAUUCUCCUCUUCCCAUUCCUCUAGGGGAAGUAUUCACAUGCUAGAGGAGGUACCAGAUUUCUGAUGAUGGGGCCUGGAGCUCUUGGCCAGAUGGUAAAGGAAGUACUUAAUCCAGGUCUGAUUAGGCAUCUAGGAAACACCCUUCCCCAAGGCUCAGAAAGGCACAUCUCAAGACUCCUCCCAUGAUUCUACUCCAUCAACAAGAGCUUAA